GCGAAAGCAGGUCAUAGUGAUCCGGUGGUUCUGAAUGGAAGGGCCAUCGCUCAACGGAUAAAAGGUACUCCGGGGAUAACAGGCUGAUACCGCCCAAGAGUUCAUAUCGACGGCGGUGUUUGGCACCUCGAUGUCGGCUCAUCACAUCCUGGGGCUGAAGUAGGUCCCAAGGGUAUGGCUGUUCGCCAUUUAAAGUGGUACGCGAGCUGGGUUUAGAACGUCGUGAGACAGUUCGGUCCCUAUCUGCCGUGGGCGCUGGAGAACUGAGGGGGGCUGCUCCUAGUACGAGAGGACCGGAGUGGACGCAUCACUGGUGUUCGGGUUGUCAUGCCAAUGGCACUGCCCGGUAGCUAAAUGCGGAAGAGAUAAGUGCUGAAAGCAUCUAAGCACGAAACUUGCCCCGAGAUGAGUUCUCCCUGACUCCCUGAGAGUCCUGAAGGAACGUUGAAGACGACGACGUUGAUAGGCCGGGUGUGUAAGCGCAGCGAUGCGUUGAGCUAACCGGUACUAAUGAACCGUGAGG
Molecule: ribosomal RNA, 523 nt
Filed under: Escherichia coli
Lineage: Bacteria; Pseudomonadati; Pseudomonadota; Gammaproteobacteria; Enterobacterales; Enterobacteriaceae
Description: partial 23S ribosomal RNA
Rfam family: Bacterial large subunit ribosomal RNA
Source: RNAcentral